GUCAGCUGCGGCGGGCGGGCCGGCGCGGGGAGCUGUGGGCGGCAGCUGCGUCUCCUGCCACCGCCCUCCCUCCGCCACGAUGCCGGGGAUCGACAAGCUGCCCAUCGAGGAGACGCUGGAGGACAGCCCGCAGCAAGGUCUUUACUAGGUGUAUUUGAAGAAGAUGCCACAGCUAUUUCCAACUAUAUGAACCAGUUGUAUCAAGCUAUGCAUCGGAUUUAUGAUGCACAGAUGAAUUAAGUGCAGCAACACACCUGACCUCAAAACUUUUAAAAGAAUAUGAAAAACAGGUUUUCCAUUGGGAGGUGAUGAUGAAGUUAUGAGCUCUACAUUGCAACAGUUUUCAAAAGUUAUAGAUGAGUUAGCUCUUGUCAUGCAGUGCUUUCAACUCAACUUGCUGAUGCCAUGAUGUUCCCCAUUACCCAGUUUAAAGAAAGAGAUCUGAAAGAAUACUAACAUUAAAGGAAGUAUUUCAGAUUGCAAGUAAUGUCAUGAUGCUGCGAUUAAUAGAUAUAGCCGUUUAUCAAAAAAAAGAGAAAAUGACAAGGUGUGGUAC
RNAcentral lists this long non-coding RNA (556 nucleotides) under Homo sapiens (human). Its description in RNAcentral is "long non-coding RNA NONHSAT090074.2". Lineage: Eukaryota; Metazoa; Chordata; Mammalia; Primates; Hominidae. The record is from RNAcentral.